CAGGCGCGUGAUGAAGUCGUCGGUGCGGUACGGGCGGAACUGGACCUCUGGGAGAAACGGAAUUCCGGGAAUUAGCACGGAUCCUGUGGGAAUUGGCCGUUAUCCGAGAAAAAUCCCGGAAUUAUCGACACAUCCCAUGGGAAUUGGCCGUUAUUUGACAAAAAUCUGGGAAUUAUCAAUGGAUCCUAACGGGAUUUGCCAUUAUCCAAUAAAAUCCUUGGAAUUCUCACUGGAUCCAAAACUGGAAUCGCUGGGAUGCUCCAAAGUUGGGAUUCCAGUCCCUCCCAGUCCAUCCCAGUCCCAUCCCAGUCCAUCCCAGUCCAUCCCAGUCCAUCCCAGUUCCAUCCCAGUCCAUCCCAGUCCAUCCCAGUCCAUCCCAGUCACUCCCAGUCCCUCCCAGUCACUCCCAGUCCAUUCCAGAGCCUUAUCUGACAAAAAUCUGGGAAUUUUCAGUGCAUCCUAUUGGUGUUCACCAUUAUCCAAUAA
This 486-nucleotide long non-coding RNA is filed under the name Parus major (Great Tit). RNAcentral describes it as "lncRNA (ENSPMJG00000002086.1)". The record is from RNAcentral. Lineage: Eukaryota; Metazoa; Chordata; Aves; Passeriformes; Paridae.